This 164-nucleotide microRNA precursor is filed under the name Drosophila guanche. Lineage: Eukaryota; Metazoa; Arthropoda; Insecta; Diptera; Drosophilidae. The record is from RNAcentral.
GGGUGCUAGUGCUGCUGCUGCUGCUGCUGCUGCUGCUGGGUGGCAGGGCACUUGAGGCAGGGACACUGGACCACACAGGCAUCCGUGGAGCGAAGAAUGAAGUGAUAAACCAAAUUGCUUAAGUGGCAGGGGCAGCAGCAGCAGCAGCAGCAGCAGCAUGAAUG